GCUUUAGUUACUCUCUCCUAAGAAUGACUUCUUUCAGUUUGUCUCCCACAUCCAGAUUGAGGAAGAAGCCAUAUGCUUUGGAAACCAGAUCAGCAGAUGGCUUGUUUGGCGACCUAUUGCAUAAACUGAAGAAAUGAAAAAAAAGUUUUCCUGCCUGGAAAACAUGUUCUGCCACUGGCACCCAAGUACCUACCUUCUGCUUACAGAGGGAUGCCGGGUGUUUAUCAGGAGGGCAUCCAACAUUCUUAAGACAGUUUUAUAUAAGUGAAAGAGGAGUGGGAAAGUAGAGACAGUUCUUGUGAAAUGGAAAGCUAGUUAAGUCUUCCUUUCUGUGAAACAUGACACCACCCUGAAACCCAGCAGGGCUUCCUGUGUGAAGAUCACAGCCAGAAACAGUGGCAGAAUGAGAAGCACGUUCAUAUUAAUUGUCCCAUUUAACUUCCAUAAUCUGGUGUGUCAUAGAUUGCUUCUAGAGAACAACUUAUAUGAAGUAACAAACUGCCUACUACUUGGAAUCAGAGUUCCCCAAGGCCGGAAAAGUGACAGUCACCUAUGUCCCAUCGCAGAGGCACAGACACUGAAGCUCAUUCCUCACCUGGAGACUCUUGAUCUGGCCUCACUCAUAAAAUCUGGCUGUACUCAACAUCAGAAGAUGUGGAAGCGAUAACUGAUUUCACAUCAUGGAAAACAUCCACUGAAAAUGGUGAUGCAAACAGUAGUGACCACAUUCAACUGCUGCGGCCUGAACAUAUUGCGGUGUUUAUCAUGUCCAUUCUGUGAUUUCAAGUCACAACUGCCAUGAAAAAAUGUUUUGGGGAUCCUGAGAGCCUCCCAGUCAUCUCAAGUUGAAGGUGUGCUCUGUUUAAAUUUCCUUACAAGCUGAUGUAUCUCUACUUUAGAAAUAAAUCAAACAAUGUAUGUGCCAGUAAAUUACCUUUGGAAACGGACUCUAAUAGGGUUUGUACUUUUUUUAUUAAAAAAUAAAAUAGAAGAACCUUGGGUCCCAUUCUGUUGCUUGUUUUCUGCAUAUUAAAACUCUCAUCAUCAACAGUUCUUGAACAAUAAAGCAGGAGCAAUC
This 1078-nucleotide long non-coding RNA is filed under the name Capra hircus (goat). Its description in RNAcentral is "lncRNA (ENSCHIG00000006324.1)". Lineage: Eukaryota; Metazoa; Chordata; Mammalia; Artiodactyla; Bovidae. The record is from RNAcentral.